RNAcentral lists this unclassified non-coding RNA (233 nucleotides) under uncultured fungus. RNAcentral's name for it is "sequence contains ITS1, 5.8S rRNA gene". The stretch from base 185 to 233 matches the Rfam family "5.8S ribosomal RNA", at positions 1 to 49 of the family's 154-position model. The record is from RNAcentral. Lineage: Eukaryota; Fungi.
UCUCCGUAGGUGAACCUGCGGAGGGAUCAUUACUGAGUGAGGGCCCUCGUGGUCCGACCUCCAACCCAUUGUUGUCCGACUCUGUUGCCUCGGGGGUGACCCGCGCGUCUUCGGCGCCGGGGCCCCCGGUGGACCAACCCACAACACUGCAUCUUUGCGUCGGAUAUCAAUGAAAAUGAAUUAAAACUUUCAACAACGGAUCUCUUGGUUCUGGCAUCGAUGAAGAACGCAGC